UGGGGAAUAUUGCGCAAUGGGCGAAAGCCUGACGCAGCAACGCCGCGUGGGUGAUGAAGGUCUUCGGAUUGUAAAACCCUGUCGUUAGGGACGAAGACUAUUAAUCUAAUACAUUAAUAGUUUGACGGUACCUAGAAAGGAAGCCCCGGCUAACUCUGUGCCAGCAGCCGCGGUAAUACAGAGGGGGCGAGCGUUAUUCGGAAUUAUUGGGCGUAAAGGGCGCGUAGGCGGUAUGUUAAGUGAGAUGUGUAAUCCCCGAGCUCAACUUGGGAACUGCAUCUCAGACUGGGAUGCUAGAGUGCCGGAGAGGGUGGUAGAAUUCCACGUGUAGCGGUGAAAUGCGUAGAGAUGUGGAGGAAUACCAGUGGCGAAGGCGGCCACCUGGACGGUAACUGACGCU
This 400-nucleotide ribosomal RNA is filed under the name uncultured bacterium. RNAcentral's name for it is "bacterial SSU rRNA". It matches the Rfam family "Bacterial small subunit ribosomal RNA", at positions 355 to 747 of the family's 1533-position model. The record is from RNAcentral.